AGUUAACGACUUGUGAAACGAUGAAUUGAAUGUCGUUAAUUAAAAGGUAACUUUUUACCAUGGAGAGAGAAAGUAAAGUGAGCAACUUUGUCAGAAGAGAGGAGAGAGAUUAAUGGAAAAAGAGGUUGAAAUUGAACAAUGAAGGAGAAAGCAAAGAAAAUUUAGCAUUAAUAGCUCGAUCGAGAAGGCCAUUACAAUUCUGGAAGUAAAGAGGUUUACUCGAACUAGUAAUGGUUUAAUUGAGGUAAGUGAAGUUAAAUUAUUCAGGGUAAUGGUUUAAUUGUGCAAAAUUCAUGUGGGUAAAGCUAAUUUAUUGGUUUGAUUGAGGGGGAUUUGAUGUGGACAAAUUAGGCUAACUGGAAUUAGUAAUGGAUUAAUUGAGGGAAGUCAUGUUAAAUUGUGCGAUAAUUCUGGACUCCUACUCGCCACUUCUGGUUGUUGUCACUGAGGCAAGGGUUUGGAAGCCAAUGCUGAAAUUCGUACACAGUGAGCUAAAGGGAAACUUCAAGGUUGAGGUUGUUGGGCCAAAUGAGUGUUGUGUUUCUGGGCGACGGAAGCUUCUCCAUACUUCUCUUGCAUGAAGAAUACGUUAUACGAAGAGGUUAUGUCAGCAAACAUCAUAGUUGAAACUUUGCUAAACGUUGGAUUCCAACCAAGCAAAUGGUUGAUUGACAUUGGAAGGGCAGACCUACCACAAGGCAACAUUUGAAUAAAUAAUAACUCAUCAAAAUGAUUUACACCAUUUUGGUUUUAGCAGGGAUUGUAAGGACAUGCCUUGUAGUGAUGAUCAAAUUUUAUGUGAU
Molecule: long non-coding RNA, 803 nt
Organism: Chenopodium quinoa (quinoa)
Lineage: Eukaryota; Viridiplantae; Streptophyta; Magnoliopsida; Caryophyllales; Amaranthaceae
Exons: 3
Source: RefSeq, a predicted model, not a curated record